UGAAGAAUUGGAUCAGCUGCUGCGGUGUCUAAGAGAGCCGAUCGUUAGAAUCGGAUAACUAGCAUUGUGAUUCGAUCUCUCGUGGGAUGGAGACCCGAGGGGGAAUACAGAGGAGACAAGGAUAUACGUUCUGGAGUUUUUUGUGGCUCGGGAUUUCGUGUGCUCUUUGGUACUUCCUCCAAGAAUGGACGACUCCAGUAGUGCAAAUACUGUGGAUGGUCGGAAACUGCCUUGCUGUGAUGUACUCCUUCCAACUUUGGGUGCUCCUCAUGACCUUAAGGAGAGACCUGGGCGCUGGUGUCAAUCAAUUCAAAGCCAAGCGGGCGCUGAGGUCGCAAAUUAAUCGCAAGGCAACUGUAGCUCAGCUCUUUACCGAAACUGCUACACAGUACCCGGAUAAACUGCUGAUGUCGUCACCGAAAUCUUCCUGGACCUUUUCCGAAGCGCGAGUGUUCACGAAUCGAGUGGCGAAUCACUUCCGAAGUCGAGGACUCAAAGCCGGCGAUGAGGUCUGCCUCCUCAUGGAGAACCGACCCGAAUUCCUCAUGAUAUGGCUCGGCUUGAGUAAACUCGGUCUGGUUACAGCGCUUAUAAACUACAACAUUAAGAGCAAGGCGCUGGCGCACUGCGUGAACGCCGUCAAAACCAAGGUUGUGAUAUUCAGUAAUUCUCUGGCACCCUCAUUGAGUUCUGCGUUGGGAGAUGUAAAUGACUCUGAAUCGAUUGAGUUCUACCAUUUGGAUAGCGGGAACGCUCCCGAGGUGGCCCUGAGAAGCGAAUCUCUGCUCGAUUGCCUCCAGCAGGCAUCGACCGACGAGAAACUUCAUCAAGGAAGCCCGAAGGAUCGCCUCCUGUACAUUUUCACCUCGGGUACGACGGGUUUGCCCAAAGCCGCCAUCGUGACCAACUUGAGGUACAUGUACGUGGCUGCCAACAUGUUCUUCAUGUGUCCCUUCAGAGUCGACGACAAAAUCUACCUAUCGUUGCCUCUGUAUCACAACUCGGGCGGCACCCUAGGACCGGGACCGUGCCUGAUCUACGGACUGAGCUGUCAUAUCGCACCGAAAUUUUCCGCGUCGAACUUCUGGUCCGAUUGUAAAAAAUUUGACUGCACGGUCGCUCUGUACAUAGGCGAAAUGGUCAGGUAUCUGUUGGCACAGCCAACUCGGGAAGCAGAUGAUACGCACAAGGUUCGAUUGCUGUUCGGCCACGGAGCCCGGAAACAACUGUGGGAGGAAUUCCGUCGACGUUUCAAGCUUGACGACAUCAGGGAAAUAUACGGAUCCACCGAGGGCAACGCCGGCCUCAUGAACGUGGACAACAAGCCGGGAGCCAUCGGUUUCUUAUCAACUCCGUGUCGGAUGAGUCGGACGCUCGCCCGAAUCGUGAUGCCGAUGUUCGUCAUCAAGAUCGACCCGGAAACGGGCAAGCCUGUCCGAGAUCAUCGAGGCCUCUGCGUCGAGUGCAAGGCUCACGAGCCCGGAGAACUCAUUGGAUUGAUCACAUCGCAACCCGCGAUGAAAUUUGAGGGUUACGUCGAUAGAAACGCAACGCAGAAGAAAAUCUACACCGACGUUUUCCGGCAUGGAGAGAACGCAUUCGCCACGGGUGAUAUCGUUGUCUACGACGAUCUCGGCUAUGUGUUCUUCCAAGAUCGUACGGGUGAUACUUUCCGAUGGAAGAGUGAAAACGUCUCUACGAACGAAGUCGAGAGCGUUAUCGCGAAAAUCAUCGGUCUGACGGAUGCCAUAGUUUACGGGGUGGAGGUCGAGGGCACUGAGGGCAAAGCGGGAAUGGUCGCCAUUCUGAUUAAGGAGAAUCAAGAUGAGAUCGAUCUGAGCGAUCUUCUGAGACAAAUGGAUGAGAACCUGCCCGCUUACGCAGUGCCGCUCUUCGUGAGAUUCACCCGACAAAUCGAGUCGACCAGCACGCUGAAAUAUAAGAAAAACACCCUGGUCGAUGAAGGUUUCAACCCCGCCAAGGUGAAAGACGCUUUGUUCUUCUUGGAUCGUUCGAAGCAACAAUAUGUCCCGCUCGACGAGAAUCUCUAUAGUGAGAUAGUUUCAGCCAAAGUACGUCUCUGAAAUCUGCGUACAUCUGAAUUAUCGUUUGCCGGCAGGCUCGGCGAGCGAUGCUCGUUUGUUUGGCUCGUUCCUUGCCAGCCGAACUCGCGUACAUAUUCAAGUGGUUACAAUAUUUUCCGAUAAGCGAGUUUUUUACGAUGGUGCACCGAAAAAGACGACAAACCUUAUAUUCCAUGGAACCGUUCGAAAUUAUGGGAGCAACGGUCCCCGAAAGCCCAAACCGAGAGGAAGGUCAGGGUGAUAUUUUUGACUCUGGGAGUUCUCAACUCCAUAAGACGACCAAUAAAAACGUGACGUAUUCUU
This 2387-nucleotide small RNA is filed under the name Galendromus occidentalis (western predatory mite). RNAcentral's name for it is "long-chain fatty acid transport protein 4". The record is from RNAcentral. Lineage: Eukaryota; Metazoa; Arthropoda; Arachnida; Mesostigmata; Phytoseiidae.